Molecule: non-coding RNA, 153 nt
Filed under: Paramoeba aestuarina
Lineage: Eukaryota; Discosea; Flabellinia; Dactylopodida; Paramoebidae
Source: RNAcentral
UAAAAGAGGGAAAGAAAGAAGAGGAGGAGGAAGAAGAGAUGAGGACAGUGAGUGGUAAUAUCUGUCAAUUAUGUGGGAUAUUAUACCGUUCUUUGUUUUCCGUCACUCCCCCCUCUUUUCAAUCCACCAUUCUUUCUUUCUCUUCCCAAUUGU